CAGUAGCCGCGGUAAUACGGAGGGGGCUAGCGUUGUUCGGAAUUACUGGGCGUAAAGCGCGCGUAGGCGGCUUGGUAAGUUAGAGGUGAAAGCCCGGAGCUCAACUCCGGAAUUGCCUUUAAGACUGCCGAGCUAGCAGGUGAGAGAGGUAAGUGGAAUUCCGAGUGUAGAGGUGAAAUUCGUAGAUAUUCGGAAGAACACCAGUGGCGAAGGCGGCUUACUGGCUCAUACUGGACGCUGAGGUGCGAAAGCGUGGGGAGCAAACAGGAUUAGAUACCCCAGUAGUCCCUGUCUCUUAUAC
Molecule: ribosomal RNA, 301 nt
Filed under: uncultured bacterium
Lineage: Bacteria
Description: partial 16S ribosomal RNA
Rfam family: Bacterial small subunit ribosomal RNA
Source: RNAcentral